This 446-nucleotide ribosomal RNA is filed under the name Deinopis sp. LB-2014a. RNAcentral describes it as "partial 16S ribosomal RNA". It matches the Rfam family "Bacterial large subunit ribosomal RNA", at positions 1831 to 2600 of the family's 2925-position model. The record is from RNAcentral. Lineage: Eukaryota; Metazoa; Arthropoda; Arachnida; Araneae; Deinopidae.
UUCUUAUAGAAUUCAUUAUAAGUAAAAUCUGCUCAAUGAAAAUAUAAAUAGCCGCAGAAUUUUUACUGUGCUAAGGUAGCAUAAUCAUUUGCCUUUUAAUUAAAGGCUAGUAUGAAAGAUCUAACAUUUAAAUUUUUCUAUAUAAAUUAAAAUUUUAAUUUAUUUUAAAUGUAAAAAAACAUUUAUACUAAGAAAGACGACAAGACCCUAUCGAACUUUACUUUAGUUAAGCUGGGGCAGCUUAUUAAUUAAAUUCUUAAUAAAAUUUAUUCUAAAACUAGACCCAAUUCAAUUGAUUUAAUGAUCAAGUUACCGUAGGGAUAACAGCGUAAUAAUUAUUUAAAGCUCUUAUUUAAAUAAAAGAUUGCGACCUCGAUGUUGAAUUGAUAUCCCUAUUAAAUGCAUCCAUUUAAAAAGGAGGUCUGUUCGACCUAUAAUUUAUCACA